Balaenoptera ricei (Rice's whale) is the source of this 210-nucleotide long non-coding RNA. RefSeq lists it as uncharacterized. Lineage: Eukaryota; Metazoa; Chordata; Mammalia; Artiodactyla; Balaenopteridae. The transcript is spliced from 3 exons. The record is from RefSeq and is a predicted model, not a curated record.
GUCGUUUUCUGCAGAUCCAUUUGCCUGGGAGGGCUUAGCCCUUCUUGGGCUUUUAUUGGGUUUUGCUGUAGGAAUCUAACGCUAGGUCGAACGUUCUGGCCAGAGACAUCUGAAAUGUACAGUCAAGUGAGUUACGCCAGCCCACGUGGGAUAGAGAGCAAGGCGGAGUGGGACUCAAACUGAAACAUCAGCUCUUCCUGGGUCUCAAGG